RNAcentral lists this ribosomal RNA (601 nucleotides) under Ogataea siamensis. Its description in RNAcentral is "eukaryotic LSU rRNA". It matches the Rfam family "Eukaryotic large subunit ribosomal RNA", at positions 38 to 660 of the family's 3401-position model. Lineage: Eukaryota; Fungi; Ascomycota; Pichiomycetes; Pichiales; Pichiaceae. The record is from RNAcentral.
GCAUAUCAAUAAGCGGAGGAAAAGAAACCAACAGGGAUUGCCUUAGUAGCGGCGAGUGAAGCGGCAAGAGCUCAAAUUUGAAAUCUGGUACCUUCGGUGCCCGAGUUGUAAUUUGAAGAAAGUAAUCUUGGAGGUGGCCUUUGUCUAUGUUCCUUGGAACAGGACGUCACAGAGGGUGAGAAUCCCGUGCGAUGAGGUGUCCAUUUCCGUGUAAGAUGCUUUCGAAGAGUCGAGUUGUUUGGGAAUGCAGCUCAAAGUGGGUGGUAAAUUCCAUCUAAAGCUAAAUAUUGGCGAGAGACCGAUAGCGAACAAGUACUGUGAAGGAAAGAUGAAAAGAACUUUGAAAAGAGAGUGAAAAAGUACGUGAAAUUGUUGAAAGGGAAGGGUAUUUGAUCAGACUUGGUAUUUAGUUAUCAUUGCUCCUUGUGGGUGGUGCUCUAACUUUUUACUGGGCCAGCAUCAGUUUUGGUGGUAAGAUAAUGACAGUUGAAUGUGGCUCCUCGGAGUGUUAUAGCUUCUGUUGAUGUUGCCUACCGGGACUGAGGUCUGCGGCUUUGCCUAGGAUGCUGGCGUAAUGAUCCAAUACCGCCCGUCUUGAACC